Molecule: ribosomal RNA, 480 nt
Filed under: uncultured bacterium
Lineage: Bacteria
Description: bacterial SSU rRNA
Rfam family: Bacterial small subunit ribosomal RNA
Source: RNAcentral
CUGGCGGCGUGCUUCAGACAUGCAAGUCGAGCGGGCGGAGGCCAAACCGCAAGGGGAGGCUGAAGCUAGCGGCGAACGGGUGAGUAACACGUGGGUAAUCUGCCCAAAAGACUGGGAUAACGGUUCGAAAGGACCGCUAAUACCGGAUAAUGUCGUUAAGUCGCAUGACAUAACGAAGAAAGGCGAAAGCCACUUUCGGAUGAGCUCGCGACCCAUCAGCUAGUUGGUGAGGUAAAGGCCCCACCAAGGCGACGACGGGUAACCGGUCUGAGAGGAUGAUCGGUCACACUGGGACUGAGAUACGGCCCAGACUCCUACGGGAGGCAGCAGUCGGGAAUAUUGGGCAAUGGGCGAAAGCCCUGACCCAGCGACGCCGCGUGAGGGAUGAAGGCCUUCGGGUCGUAAACCUCUGUCAUCGGGGACGAAGAAAGUGACGGUACCCGAGGAGGAAGCCCCUGCUAACUACGUGCCAGCCGCCGC